RNAcentral lists this ribosomal RNA (261 nucleotides) under uncultured bacterium. RNAcentral's name for it is "partial 16S ribosomal RNA". It matches the Rfam family "Bacterial small subunit ribosomal RNA", at positions 513 to 773 of the family's 1533-position model. The record is from RNAcentral.
AGCCGCGGUAAUACGGAGGGUGCAAACGUUGCUCGGAAUUAUUGGGCGUAAAGCGCACGUAGGCGGCCGAAUAAGUCGGGUGCGAAAGCCCUGGGCUCAACCCAGGAAGUGCACUCGAAACUGCUCGGCUUGAGUAUGGAAGAGGGUUGCGGAAUUCCCGGUGUAGAGGUGAAAUUCGUAGAUAUCGGGAGGAACACCAGUGGCGAAGGCGGCAACCUGGGCCAAUACUGACGCUGAGGUGCGAAAGCGUGGGGAGCAAAC